Molecule: ribosomal RNA, 77 nt
Filed under: Sclerotinia sclerotiorum
Lineage: Eukaryota; Fungi; Ascomycota; Leotiomycetes; Helotiales; Sclerotiniaceae
Description: partial 28S ribosomal RNA
Source: RNAcentral
CUUCUGCCAAAACCCAAAUUUUCUAUGGUUGACCUCGGAUCAGGUAGGGAUACCCGCUGAACUUAAGCAUAUCAAAA